AGCGGCGGACGGGUGAGUAACGCGUGGGUGACCUGCCCCAUACCGGGGGAGUAACAGCUGGAAACGGCUGCUAAUACCGCAUAAGCGCACAGAGCUGCAUGGCUCGGUGUGAAAAACUCCGGUGGUAUGGGAUGGGCCCGCGUCUGAUUAGGCAGUUGGCGGGGUAACGGCCCACCAAACCGACGAUCAGUAGCCGGCCUGAGAGGGCGACCGGCCACAUUGGGACUGAGACACGGCCCAAACUCCUACGGGAGGCAGCAUG
Molecule: ribosomal RNA, 262 nt
Filed under: uncultured bacterium
Lineage: Bacteria
Description: partial 16S ribosomal RNA
Rfam family: Bacterial small subunit ribosomal RNA
Source: RNAcentral